UACGUAGGGACCAAGCGUUGUUCGGAUUUACUGGGCGUAAAGGGCGCGUAGGCGGCGUGGUAAGUCACUUGUGAAAUCUCUGAGCUUAACUCAGAACGGCCAAGUGAUACUGCUGUGCUAGAAUGCAGAAGGGGCAAUCGGAAUUCUUGGUGUAGCGGUGAAAUGCGUAGAUAUCAAGAGGAACACCUGAGGUGAAGACGGGUUGCUGGGCUGACACUGACGCUGAGGCGCGAAAGCCAGGGGAGCAAACGGG
This 253-nucleotide ribosomal RNA is filed under the name uncultured bacterium. RNAcentral's name for it is "partial 16S ribosomal RNA". It matches the Rfam family "Bacterial small subunit ribosomal RNA", at positions 524 to 776 of the family's 1533-position model. The record is from RNAcentral.